Long non-coding RNA from Nematolebias whitei (Rio pearlfish), 196 nucleotides. RefSeq lists it as uncharacterized. Lineage: Eukaryota; Metazoa; Chordata; Actinopteri; Cyprinodontiformes; Rivulidae. The transcript is spliced from 3 exons. The record is from RefSeq and is a predicted model, not a curated record.
GGGCGUCCGUUUGGCAUGUUUUGUUUACGGCGGAUUCGGCGCUGUGACCCACGGUCCAGUUAAACGUUUCAGAGUCUACUCCCGCCCCUGAGUGAAUUUGACCGAUGGAUGAAGCUGCUCUUCCCUCAAACCCCGUCUGUAGUGCACCUCCCCUCAGCGAGCCUCCUUCACCUCUCCUCUCCUUCUCCUCCGUCAC